GAUGAACGCUGGCGGCGUGCCUAAUACAUGCAAGUCGAGCGAACAGACGAGGAGCUUGCUCCUCUGACGUUAGCGGCGGACGGGUGAGUAACACGUGGAUAACCUACCUAUAAGACUGGGAUAACUUCGGGAAACCGGAGCUAAUACCGGAUAAUAUAUUGAACCGCAUGGUUCAAUAGUGAAAGACGGUUUUGCUGUCACUUAUAGAUGGAUCCGCGCCGCAUUAGCUAGUUGGUAAGGUAACGGCUUACCAAGGCAACGAUGCGUAGCCGACCUGAGAGGGUGGUCGGCCACACUGGAACUGAGACGCGGUCCAGACUCCUACGGGAGGCAGCAGUAGGGAAUCUUCCGCAAUGGGCGGAAGCCUGACGGAGCAACGCCGCGUGAGUGAUGAAGGUCUUCGGAUCGUAAAACUCUGUUAUUAGGGAAGAACAAAUGUGUAAGUAACUAUGCACGUCUUGACGGUACCUAAUCAGAAAGCCACGGCUAACUACGUG
Molecule: ribosomal RNA, 497 nt
Filed under: uncultured bacterium
Lineage: Bacteria
Description: partial 16S ribosomal RNA
Rfam family: Bacterial small subunit ribosomal RNA
Source: RNAcentral